CGAUUUUGACGAUAACCUA
RNAcentral lists this microRNA (19 nucleotides) under Schistosoma mansoni. Its description in RNAcentral is "sma-miR-8483-3p". Lineage: Eukaryota; Metazoa; Platyhelminthes; Trematoda; Strigeidida; Schistosomatidae. The record is from miRBase by way of RNAcentral.